This 405-nucleotide ribosomal RNA is filed under the name uncultured bacterium. Its description in RNAcentral is "bacterial SSU rRNA". It matches the Rfam family "Bacterial small subunit ribosomal RNA", at positions 370 to 772 of the family's 1533-position model. The record is from RNAcentral.
AAUGGCUGAAAAGCUGAUCCAGCCAUCCCGCGUGAAGGUAGAAGGUCCUAUGGAUUGUAAACUUCUUUUCUCUGGGAAGAAAAAGCUUGAUUCAUCAAGCCCUGACGGUACCAGAGGAAUAAGCACCGGCUAACUCCGUGCCAGCAGCCGCGGUAAUACGGAGGGUGCAAGCGUUAUCCGGAUUCACUGGGUUUAAAGGGUGCGUAGGCGGGCUUAUAAGUCAGUGGUGAAAGCCCGGAGCUUAACUUCGGAACUGCCAUUGAUACUGUAAGUCUUGAGUACACUUGAGGUGGGCGGAAUACAUCAUGUAGUGGUGAAAUACUUAGAUAUGAUGUAGAACACCGAUUGCGAAGGCAGCUCACUAAAUUGUAACUGACGCUGAGGCACGAAAGCGUGGGGAUCAAA